RNAcentral lists this ribosomal RNA (374 nucleotides) under uncultured organism. RNAcentral describes it as "partial 16S ribosomal RNA". It matches the Rfam family "Bacterial small subunit ribosomal RNA", at positions 527 to 896 of the family's 1533-position model. The record is from RNAcentral.
GUAGGUGGCAAGCGUUGUCCGGAAUUAUUGGGCGUAAAGCGCGCGCAGGUGGUUCUUUAAGUCUGAUGUGAAAGCCCCCGGCUCAACCGGGGAGGGUCAUUGGAAACUGGGGAACUCGAGUGCAGGAGAGGAAAGUGGAAUUCCACGUGUAGCGGUGAAAUGCGUAGAUAUGUGGAGGAACACCAGUGGCGAAGGCGACUUUCUGGCCUGUAACUGACACUGAGGCGCGAAAGCGUGGGGAGCAAACAGGGAUUAGAUACCCUGGUAGUCCACGCCGUAAACGAUGAGUGCUAAGUGUUGGGGGGGUUUCCCGCCCCUCAGUGCUGCAGCUAACGCAUUAAGCACUCCGCCUGGGGAGUACGGUCGCAAGACUG